RNAcentral lists this ribosomal RNA (305 nucleotides) under uncultured bacterium. RNAcentral's name for it is "partial 16S ribosomal RNA". It matches the Rfam family "Bacterial small subunit ribosomal RNA", at positions 508 to 807 of the family's 1533-position model. The record is from RNAcentral.
ACAGCAGUAGCCGCGGUAAUACGAGGGGGGCAAGCGUUGUUCGGAAUUAUUGGGCGUAAAGGGUGCGUAGGCGGCUUGACAAGUCUUGUGUGAAAUCUAUGGGCUCAACCCAUAGCCUGCACGAGAAACUACCGGGCUUGAGUAUUGGAGAGGUGAGUGGAAUUUCCGGUGUAGCGGUGAAAUGCGUAGAUAUCGGAAGGAACACCUGUGGCGAAAGCGGCUCACUGGACAAUAACUGACGCUGAUGCACGAAAGCUAGGGGAGCAAACAGGAUUAGAUACCCGUGUAGUCCAUGUCUCUUAUAC